This 456-nucleotide ribosomal RNA is filed under the name Salmonella enterica. RNAcentral describes it as "partial 23S ribosomal RNA". It matches the Rfam family "Bacterial large subunit ribosomal RNA", at positions 1279 to 1735 of the family's 2925-position model. The record is from RNAcentral. Lineage: Bacteria; Pseudomonadati; Pseudomonadota; Gammaproteobacteria; Enterobacterales; Enterobacteriaceae.
GUAUCAGAAGUGCGAAUGCUGACAUAAGUAACGAUAAAGCGGGUGAAAAGCCCGCUCGCCGGAAGACCAAGGGUUCCUGUCCAACGUUAAUCGGGGCAGGGUGAGUCGACCCCUAAGGCGAGGCCGAAAGGCGUAGUCGAUGGGAAACGGGUUAAUAUUCCCGUACUUGGUGUUACUGCGAAGGGGGGACGGAGAAGGCUAUGUUGGCCGGGCGACGGUUGUCCCGGUUUAAGCGUGUAGGUGUGUGUUCCAGGUAAAUCCGGUUCACUUUAACACUGAGGCGUGACGACGAGGCACUACGGUGCUGAAGCAACAAAUGCCCUGCUUCCAGGAAAAGCCUCUAAGCAUCAGGUAACAUCAAAUCGUACCCCAAACCGACACAGGUGGUCAGGUAGAGAAUACCAAGGCGCUUGAGAGAACUCGGGUGAAGGAACUAGGCAAAAUGGUGCCGUAACU